GCCCACAGCCCUCCUCCCGCCCCGCUGCAGGGUGGCUUGCCUGCUCUGAGCAGUGCAGCCAGCGUCACACCUGAGUCCAGGAGAUGGCGUCCCUGCCAGCCACAUGCCCAGGAGGAGCUCCUGUUCCCCAAGUGGCAAGGUCAGGCCCUGCUGGGGCCAUGCCCGCGUCCAGAGAGGCAUGGAGAUGGCCAAGAGCCACAGUGACGAAGCCAAAGGUCAUUUUUAAAAGCACUUCUGUCCCUGGUCCAAGUGGGGAGACAAAGAAAGGCUAGAAAGAAAAAACACAGUAUUGUGAAACUCAAACAGAUGUUUGCCAACAAAAUCACCAGGAAGCAGAAAAGAGGGAAGAAGUAAGAAAGGAGCAGGGCGGGGGAGGCAGGAUUUAAAGCAAGGUGGGCUGGCGGGCUGGGAGAGGCGGGGAGAAUGUGCUUCCAUCUGUAGUGAGCACAAUAAAAUCCGGUCACGCGGCGUCACAUGGGGCUUUAUUAUAAUCAGGCCGCCGAAUUUGUGGAGGCUCCCUCCCUGCCCGCUCUCGGUGCGCUGGCAGUACAGGCUGUUAUCAGCGGCGAGCAGCUUUCCAGCACCUCCCCCCGCUCGGAGCCCUUCAUCCGGAGAUGCAGACACUGAGCCCAGAGGAGACGGCGGCUUGCCCAGUCGCAGAGCUAGCAGAGGACAAGGAAGAUGGUAAUCCUCCAGGAGCCGUAAGCCCCACAGUCUGAGGAACCCGAAGUGCUUCGCGCAGGGCCCGGCUCGGAGCAAAUGCCGCUUUUGCCCUGGGCUUCACCCAGCACCCACUCGCUGCUCUCCCACCAGGUGCAGGCCCUUCACGGGUGCUGGGGUGCAGCAGUGAGCACGCAGCCAAGGUACCUGCCUCGUGGAAGGGACACUCCAGUGGGGGAGUCAGACAGACAGGCGCCAAGGAAAAACCCACCCAUGUUGCAGUGCUGGGAAGUGAUAAGUGUAUGAAACGAAGUGAAGGGCAAGUUGAGGGGUGGUAUAAACAGGUACCCACAGUGGGAGCCGUGACUGUUACUGCGACUGUGGCGUCACCAUCGCCACUCCUGCUCUGACACUGGCUCACUUCCAACAUGGCCAAGCUCCUACUGUGUGCAGACGCCUGAGCACAAAGACAAGUGUGGCCCGCCCCAACCUCCGCAGGUACAGAGAGGACAGGAACCUUCCUCCUGAUGGAAGCAGAACUCCAUCUGGGGACAAGCUAACUCACAGGCAGGGGCUAGUGAGGGGCUCUGCGAGGGUUAUACCAAUAAUCAGUAACCCCAACGACCAGGACACCUUCAGAGCCUCAAAGAUUGAAGCAUCCUCCCUCCUGACUAGAACAAGGCUUCGAGACCAGUGGUCCCCAAGCACCUUGCACGCCAGGGCCGGGCCUCAAGGUCUGCUAACCAUGAGGGCACAAGAAACGCAGACGCCUCGGGAGGCUCGCAGACAACAGGUCUAGCUGAUUAAAGGACUGCUCUUUAAUCUGAGAAUUUUGCUCCCCUCAUAUUUCUUUUUCCUGUAAAACACACCCAUUCUUUUACGAGGACAAUGGAGAUGGUAUAUGGGAGACUUAUUUUUUUAAUCCUUAUUUUAAUAAACUGGUAACCCAACGGUACGGUAGGGGCGAGGGGUGUUACCGUUGUGCAAAAUCUUAAUGUCUGGGUAAAGGACUACCAGCGUCCUUUUCAAAACUUCUCUAAAGGUCUUUGAUUCUAAGAUGCGGUCAUGGUCCCCAGAAGGAGUGGUUCUCAACUAGGGGCUGCACCGCCCCCUAGAGGGCAUCUGGGAAUUUAUCACGCUCGCUGGGGACACUCCUGACCUUCAGCAGACAAGGUCCAGGGAUGCAGAAUGUCUCACAAUUUGCAGAACAGUCCCGAGAACGAAGAACUGUGCCAAUGGCCAAGGGUCAACGGCGCCCCCUCUGCUCUGACUGCGAAGCAUUAACUCACAGGUGGGGCCCACUGUCCCUUCCCUGUCCUGCCUUUGCAGCUGCUGGACACCAGAGGGCACUGCGCCAUCCACGGACCCUGGAGAAUAAACACUCCUCCACCAGCCACCGCCAGUCACCAGGCAUGCUGUUAUUUUCACAUGCUCUGUUCUGAAUUGCUGUUGACAGACGCUAGUUUUUUAAAAUCCUUUAACUGACAAGCUAAAAAGCUGACUACCUUAUAUUCUACCCAUAAUGUUUAUGCUCUUUUUUUAAGGACAUUUUAUAUGCCUAUAAAAUCCAAGAGUCUGAGAUGCCCUGGUCUCCAGGAUGAAUAAGGACUUUAAGCCAAACACCUGAUAAACAAUUCGCUGCUGUCCCUUGCUCUCCUUCCUUCCUUCGUCCCCUGUCUCAGGACACCCUCAUCUUAGACUCAGCUCUUACCUGUUUCUGGCACCGCCCUGGCCUUUUCUGCAGGAUCCACUGGUGCAUCUUGGGGUUCCUUCUUCUGUGGGGCUGAGCUGGAGAAGACGCCCACUGGAGCCCACUCCAGAUAGAGGGGGAUGUGGUGAAACUGUGGAGACAGGGGCAGGGUAGGGACUCAGUCCCUGAUGUCGAUGAAGAGCCCGAGGCUCAGAGAGGUUGGCUGACUCACCCCAGGGAAGGGAGGCAGGAGGCGGAGCACAGCCCAGAACUCUGCCUGCUCCCUGAUCCCUAAGAACACACGGGGGCCCCGCUGCAGCUCGGGGCUCAGGGGAGAGGCCUGAGCAUGUGCUGUCAUUGGACACAUUUGUGUCCCGUGUUUUCUCUCAUCAGAGUAUGAAUGGGGAGCAGGAGGGACGGGGAGCAGAAUCACUGACAACGGGCAGCUCUCCCGGAGGAAGAACGCGCUCCCUCUCUCGCCACAUACACACACUCACAGGCAGGGCACGCUCAAAUGUGUGCAAAAAAAAAAACGUAAGUUUUUUUAAAAAAGAUAAACAAGAUACUGAUAAAUAGUCUGCAGAGCAGCGUUAAAGUGCCUGAUAAACAAAAGCUAUUUGUAGCAGGUUGAAUGGCGGCCCCCCCUCAAAAGAUGUGUCCACGGCCUGACCCCCAGAACCUGCGAAUGUGACCUUAUUAAAAGAAAGGUCUUCGCAAAUGUCAUUAACUGAAAGAUCUUAAGGUGAGAUCAUCCUGGAUUAUCUGGGUGGGCCCUAAAUCCAGCAACGAGUGUCCUCGUAAGAGAAAGGCAGAGGGAGAGUGGAGAUGGAGAAAAGGAGACGGCCACAUGAGACAGAGGCAGAGACUGGCACAAUGCAGCCACAAGCCAAGGAUACCUGGCACGAACGGAAGCUGGAAGAGGAAAGGAAGGACCCACCCCUAGAGCCUUCACAGGGAGCGCGGCCCUGGUGACCACCUUGAUCUCAAACUUCUGACCUCCAGACCAUGAGACGCUAAGUUUCUGCUGAUUUAAGCCAGCAAGCUUGGGAUAACUUGUUAUGGCGGCCAUGAGAAACUAAUACACUAAUAUUAAAAUAUA
Molecule: long non-coding RNA, 3449 nt
Organism: Equus caballus (horse)
Lineage: Eukaryota; Metazoa; Chordata; Mammalia; Perissodactyla; Equidae
Source: RefSeq, a predicted model, not a curated record